CGGAGGAAAAGAAACCAACAGGGAUUGCCCUAGUAACGGCGAGUGAAGCGGCAACAGCUCAAAUUUGAAAUCUGGCCCUUGGGUCCGAAUUGUAAUUUGUAGAGGAUGAUUUUGGUGCGGUACCUUCCGAGUUCCUUGGAACAGGACGCCUUAGAGGGUGAGAGCCCCGUACGGUUGGAUACCUAGCCUCUGUAAAUCUCCUUCGACGAGUCGAGUAGUUUGGGAAUGCUGCUCUAAAUGGGAGGUAAAUUUCUUCUAAAGCUAAAUACUGGCCAGAGACCGAUAGCGCACAAGUAGAGUGAUCGAAAGAUGAAAAGCACUUUGAAAAGAGGGUUAAAUAGCACGUGAAAUUGUUGAAAGGGAAGGAUUUAUGACCAGACUUUUUCUGGGCAGAUCAUCCGGUGUUCUCACCGGUGCACUUUGCCCAGUUUAGGCCAGCAUCGAUUUCCGGAGGGGGAUAAAAGCUUUAGGAAUGUGGCUCCCUCGGGAGUGUUAUAGCCUAUUGUAUAAUACCUU
RNAcentral lists this ribosomal RNA (516 nucleotides) under Monochaetia sp. PQG03. Its description in RNAcentral is "eukaryotic LSU rRNA". It matches the Rfam family "Eukaryotic large subunit ribosomal RNA", at positions 51 to 577 of the family's 3401-position model. The record is from RNAcentral. Lineage: Eukaryota; Fungi; Ascomycota; Sordariomycetes; Amphisphaeriales; Sporocadaceae.